UAAUACGUAGGGUGCGAGCGUUAAUCGGAAUUACUGGGCGUAAAGCGUGCGCAGGCGGUUCUGCAAGUCAGAUGUGAAAUCCCCGGGCUUAACCUGGGAACUGCGUUUGAAACUACGGAGCUAGAGUGCGGCAGAGGGGGGUGGAAUUCCACGUGUAGCAGUGAAAUGCGUAGAUAUGUGGAGGAACACCGAUGGCGAAGGCAGCCCCCUGGGCCGACACUGACGCUCAGGCACGAAAGCGUGGGGAGCAAACAGGAUUAGAUACCCUGGUAGUCCACGCCCUAAACUAUGUCAACUAGUUGUCGGGGAAGCAAUUCCUUGGUAACGAAGCUAACGCGUGAAGUUGACCGCCUGGGGAGUACGGUCGCAAGAUUAAAACUCAAAUGAAUUG
This 391-nucleotide ribosomal RNA is filed under the name uncultured ammonia-oxidizing bacterium. Its description in RNAcentral is "bacterial SSU rRNA". It matches the Rfam family "Bacterial small subunit ribosomal RNA", at positions 521 to 912 of the family's 1533-position model. The record is from RNAcentral.